RNAcentral lists this ribosomal RNA (2547 nucleotides) under Escherichia coli O104:H4 str. Ec11-4986. RNAcentral describes it as "bacterial LSU rRNA". It matches the Rfam family "Bacterial large subunit ribosomal RNA", at positions 398 to 2925 of the family's 2925-position model. The record is from RNAcentral. Lineage: Bacteria; Pseudomonadati; Pseudomonadota; Gammaproteobacteria; Enterobacterales; Enterobacteriaceae.
UGUGAGCUCGAUGAGUAGGGCGGGACACGUGGUAUCCUGUCUGAAUAUGGGGGGACCAUCCUCCAAGGCUAAAUACUCCUGACUGACCGAUAGUGAACCAGUACCGUGAGGGAAAGGCGAAAAGAACCCCGGCGAGGGGAGUGAAAAAGAACCUGAAACCGUGUACGUACAAGCAGUGGGAGCACGCUUAGGCGUGUGACUGCGUACCUUUUGUAUAAUGGGUCAGCGACUUAUAUUCUGUAGCAAGGUUAACCGAAUAGGGGAGCCGAAGGGAAACCGAGUCUUAACUGGGCGUUAAGUUGCAGGGUAUAGACCCGAAACCCGGUGAUCUAGCCAUGGGCAGGUUGAAGGUUGGGUAACACUAACUGGAGGACCGAACCGACUAAUGUUGAAAAAUUAGCGGAUGACUUGUGGCUGGGGGUGAAAGGCCAAUCAAACCGGGAGAUAGCUGGUUCUCCCCGAAAGCUAUUUAGGUAGCGCCUCGUGAAUUCAUCUCCGGGGGUAGAGCACUGUUUCGGCAAGGGGGUCAUCCCGACUUACCAACCCGAUGCAAACUGCGAAUACCGGAGAAUGUUAUCACGGGAGACACACGGCGGGUGCUAACGUCCGUCGUGAAGAGGGAAACAACCCAGACCGCCAGCUAAGGUCCCAAAGUCAUGGUUAAGUGGGAAACGAUGUGGGAAGGCCCAGACAGCCAGGAUGUUGGCUUAGAAGCAGCCAUCAUUUAAAGAAAGCGUAAUAGCUCACUGGUCGAGUCGGCCUGCGCGGAAGAUGUAACGGGGCUAAACCAUGCACCGAAGCUGCGGCAGCGACGCUGAUGCGUUGUUGGGUAGGGGAGCGUUCUGUAAGCCUGCGAAGGUGUGCUGUGAGGCAUGCUGGAGGUAUCAGAAGUGCGAAUGCUGACAUAAGUAACGAUAAAGCGGGUGAAAAGCCCGCUCGCCGGAAGACCAAGGGUUCCUGUCCAACGUUAAUCGGGGCAGGGUGAGUCGACCCCUAAGGCGAGGCCGAAAGGCGUAGUCGAUGGGAAACAGGUUAAUAUUCCUGUACUUGGUGUUACUGCGAAGGGGGGACGGAGAAGGCUAUGUUGGCCGGGCGACGGUUGUCCCGGUUUAAGCGUGUAGGCUGGUUUUCCAGGCAAAUCCGGAAAAUCAAGGCUGAGGCGUGAUGACGAGGCACUACGGUGCUGAAGCAACAAAUGCCCUGCUUCCAGGAAAAGCCUCUAAGCAUCAGGUAACAUCAAAUCGUACCCCAAACCGACACAGGUGGUCAGGUAGAGAAUACCAAGGCGCUUGAGAGAACUCGGGUGAAGGAACUAGGCAAAAUGGUGCCGUAACUUCGGGAGAAGGCACGCUGAUAUGUAGGUGAAGUCCCUUGCUCAUGGAGCUGAAAUCAGUCGAAGAUACCAGCUGGCUGCAACUGUUUAUUAAAAACACAGCACUGUGCAAACACGAAAGUGGACGUAUACGGUGUGACGCCUGCCCGGUGCCGGAAGGUUAAUUGAUGGGGUUAGCGCAAGCGAAGCUCUUGAUCGAAGCCCCGGUAAACGGCGGCCGUAACUAUAACGGUCCUAAGGUAGCGAAAUUCCUUGUCGGGUAAGUUCCGACCUGCACGAAUGGCGUAAUGAUGGCCAGGCUGUCUCCACCCGAGACUCAGUGAAAUUGAACUCGCUGUGAAGAUGCAGUGUACCCGCGGCAAGACGGAAAGACCCCGUGAACCUUUACUAUAGCUUGACACUGAACAUUGAGCCUUGAUGUGUAGGAUAGGUGGGAGGCUUUGAAGUGUGGACGCCAGUCUGCAUGGAGCCGACCUUGAAAUACCACCCUUUAAUGUUUGAUGUUCUAACGUUGACCCGUAAUCCGGGUUGCGGACAGUGUCUGGUGGGUAGUUUGACUGGGGCGGUCUCCUCCUAAAGAGUAACGGAGGAGCACGAAGGUUGGCUAAUCCUGGUCGGACAUCAGGAGGUUAGUGCAAUGGCAUAAGCCAGCUUGACUGCGAGCGUGACGGCGCGAGCAGGUGCGAAAGCAGGUCAUAGUGAUCCGGUGGUUCUGAAUGGAAGGGCCAUCGCUCAACGGAUAAAAGGUACUCCGGGGAUAACAGGCUGAUACCGCCCAAGAGUUCAUAUCGACGGCGGUGUUUGGCACCUCGAUGUCGGCUCAUCACAUCCUGGGGCUGAAGUAGGUCCCAAGGGUAUGGCUGUUCGCCAUUUAAAGUGGUACGCGAGCUGGGUUUAGAACGUCGUGAGACAGUUCGGUCCCUAUCUGCCGUGGGCGCUGGAGAACUGAGGGGGGCUGCUCCUAGUACGAGAGGACCGGAGUGGACGCAUCACUGGUGUUCGGGUUGUCAUGCCAAUGGCACUGCCCGGUAGCUAAAUGCGGAAGAGAUAAGUGCUGAAAGCAUCUAAGCACGAAACUUGCCCCGAGAUGAGUUCUCCCUGACUCCUUGAGAGUCCUGAAGGAACGUUGAAGACGACGACGUUGAUAGGCCGGGUGUGUAAGCGCAGCGAUGCGUUGAGCUAACCGGUACUAAUGAACCGUGAGGCUUAACCUU